AUACUUACCUGGCAGGGGAGAUACCAUCUUCGUGAUCACGGAGAUGGUUUUCCCGGGGCGAGUCUCAGCCAUUGUACUGUGGAUGUGCUGACCCUGUGAUUCCCCCAAAUGUGGGAAACUCGGCUGCAUAAUUUGUGGCAGUGGAGGACUGCGUUCACAUUCUUCCC
Myotis lucifugus (little brown bat) is the source of this 167-nucleotide small nuclear RNA. Its record names the gene U1. It matches the Rfam family "U1 spliceosomal RNA". From Rfam's summary of the family: U1 is a small nuclear RNA (snRNA) component of the spliceosome (involved in pre-mRNA splicing). Its 5' end forms complementary base pairs with the 5' splice junction, thus defining the 5' donor site of an intron. The record is from Ensembl. Lineage: Eukaryota; Metazoa; Chordata; Mammalia; Chiroptera; Vespertilionidae.